RNAcentral lists this long non-coding RNA (610 nucleotides) under Mytilus galloprovincialis (Mediterranean mussel). Lineage: Eukaryota; Metazoa; Mollusca; Bivalvia; Mytilida; Mytilidae. The record is from RNAcentral.
UGUAGGACUCUAAAGUGCGAUGGUACUCUAAAGUGCGAUGGUCACGCUAAAGUACGAUGGUCUACGCUAAAGUGCGUUGGUGUCGGACGCUAAAGUGCGAUGGUGUCGGACGCUAAAGUGCGAUGGUUGUUUGUUUUUAAAGUGCGAUUAGAAAUCACGCUAAAGUGCGAUGGUUUGACACGCUAAAGUCCGAUGGUGUAACGGGAAUGUGGUUCAGGCAAUGGUUUUCGUUUGUUGCUGAGUUCCUAUUACAUUUUCGUUUAAAUUGUUUUGAUUAUGUGUCAAGCCGUAGUCUUUAUCUUUUGAAUUGUUUUACACUGGUCAUUGUAUAACCCUAUAUAGCCUGUAGUGGCAUGGACCAAUGCUUUACUUUGACGGCCGUAUGAUUAUUAGCCGCAUACAUGAACGGCAUUUGGAAUUGAAUGGAUAGUUUACUCUACAUCUUCUUAUGUUUAUUUAAAGUACGAUAGUUGUUUAAAAGGUGUAAUGGUUACACAGAAGUAUUGUUUGUACAUCUGGAAUGUAGUGGAAGUCGUUUUUUUAAUAAAAAUAUUAUGUUAUAAGACAAUGCCCAGUGUUAAAGAUCAUACUUAAAGUUUCAUAUUUCAAU